UGUCUUUUAGAUAAUAAUUUAAAGUCUAAUCUGCCCACUGAGUAGUUAAAUGGCCGCGGUAUUUUGACCGUGCAAAGGUAGCAUAAUAAUUAGUUUUUUAAUUGGAAGCUGGUAUGAAGGAUUGGAUGAGAAAAUAACUGUCUUAAAUUAAUUUUUUUAGAAUUUUAUUUUUAAGUUAAAAAGCUUAAAUUUUAUUAAAAGACGAGAAGACCCUAUAGAGUUUAAUAAAUUAAUUAAUAGAUUUAUUAUUGUUUUAAGUUUAUUUAUUGAUUAAUAUAUUUUGUUGGGGUGAUAGAAAAAUUUAAUAAACUUUUUUUAAAAUUUUACAUUAAUUUAUGAUUAAUUGAUCCAAGUUUGUUGAUUAAAAGAAUAAAUUACCUUAGGGAUAACAGCGUAAUUUUUUUUAAGAGUUCUAAUCGAAAAAAGAGAUUGCGACCUCGAUGUUGGAUUAAAGUAAAAUUYUGGUGUARAAGCUAAAAUUUUAGGUCUGUUCGACCUUUAAAACUUU
RNAcentral lists this ribosomal RNA (508 nucleotides) under Neorthopleura thoracica. RNAcentral describes it as "partial 16S ribosomal RNA". The stretch from base 385 to 508 matches the Rfam family "Bacterial large subunit ribosomal RNA", at positions 2473 to 2597 of the family's 2925-position model. Lineage: Eukaryota; Metazoa; Arthropoda; Insecta; Coleoptera; Cleridae. The record is from RNAcentral.